ACAGCAGCAGCCACGGUAAUACGAAGGGUGCAAGCGUUAAUCGGAAUUACUGGGCGUAAAGCGUGCGUAGGCGGUUUGUUAAGUCUGUUGUGAAAUCCCCGGGCUCAACCUGGGAAUGGCAAUGGAUACUGGCAAGCUAGAGUGUGUCAGAGGAUGGUGGAAUUCCCGGUGUAGCGGUGAAAUGCGUAGAGAUCGGGAGGAACAUCAGUGGCGAAGGCGGCCAUCUGGGACAACACUGACGCUGAGGCACGAAAGCGUGGGGAGCAAACAGGAUUAGAUACCCCUGUAGUCCCUGUCUCUUAUAC
This 305-nucleotide ribosomal RNA is filed under the name uncultured bacterium. Its description in RNAcentral is "partial 16S ribosomal RNA". It matches the Rfam family "Bacterial small subunit ribosomal RNA", at positions 506 to 807 of the family's 1533-position model. The record is from RNAcentral.